RNAcentral lists this transfer RNA (69 nucleotides) under Limois sp. WW-2021a. RNAcentral describes it as "tRNA-Gln". Lineage: Eukaryota; Metazoa; Arthropoda; Insecta; Hemiptera; Fulgoridae. The record is from RNAcentral.
UAUAAAAAAAUGUAUGAUGCAUUAAGAAUUUUGAUUUCUUAAGUUUCAGUUUAAAUCUGAAUUUUAUAA